UCAUCCCCUCGGCCUUUUGGCUAAGAUCAAGUGUAGUAUCUGUUCUUCUGAAAAUUUUAAAAGAUGAUUUAUCCUGGUUAUUCCUACAGAUGAAGUUUAGUAGUCUCAAUGUUCAAAAGUUCAAGCAUAUCUCAUUGUACUUCAUUUUGUGAACUAAUUUGG
The sequence is a small nuclear RNA, 162 nucleotides long. Its record names the gene U2. It matches the Rfam family "U2 spliceosomal RNA". From Rfam's summary of the family: U2 is a small nuclear RNA (snRNA) component of the spliceosome (involved in pre-mRNA splicing). Complementary binding between U2 snRNA (in an area lying towards the 5' end but 3' to hairpin I) and the branchpoint sequence (BPS) of the intron results the bulging out of an unpaired adenosine, on the BPS, which initiates a nucleophilic attack at the intronic 5' splice site, thus starting the first of two transesterification reactions that mediate splicing. The record is from Ensembl.